GCAACAAAGUGUCCAAAUCUCUCUAUGUUUUUUAACUAGUGCCCUGGAUGCUUCUUAUGAAGUUACUGGAGCACUGACACUUUCCUUUGGAGCCCUUGGAAUACUGUCUGGCCUUGGAGAAGUCACGUUCCUUCUCUGAGCUUCCAUUUCCACGUCUGUACAAUGGGGAUGGGAAUCCCUGCCUCUCAAGGCUGUACUGUAUCUAAGGAAGAACAAGGAAGAGGAGAUUAAGACACAGCCCUGCUCAGAGGGAAGACCAUGCAAGGACAGAGUGAAGGCGGCCAUCCACAAGCCCAGUAAAGAGGCCUCAGAGAAGCUGCCUUGCAGGCAUCCCAAGCUCACGUCUCAGGACCGCCAUGUGUGACUAUGACAGAAGGUUUGGUGCAGCCUCUUUCCCUUGGCUCUUUGACCCUGACUUUGGGAAAAGACUGCCUCAGUUUUCCUCAUCUGUGGAAGAGGCAAAUAGUAUGUUUGACUCACAGGUUGUUAACGCAGGCAUGUCUCCAAGAAGAUAACAGGAUGAUGACCCUGGCAUUUACUGAGUAUAUAUGACACAUGCUAUCUCCCCUCCCUGUUCAGCUGUGCAAAGUUGGACCCGGCCAGUAACCCUUCUGAAACUCGGUUUUAUCACAUAGGAAAUGGGCAUCACAACCUUUGGCCACGUCAUUGAACAGAGCUGCUGGGAAACCCAGCAAGGCAACACAUGUGACAGGUUCGAGAAAGUACAAAGCGCCUUGCCGAUGGGGGAACCAUUACUUCCAGGCAAAGCGAUGUCAUCUUCCCCAAGGGAUGCUGUUAAACUGAGACCUAAAGUACAGAGCACUAGAAAGAGCAGUUUCGACACACAGGCUGUGGGUCCAAGUCCCAGCUCUGCCAUUUCAGUGAAACCAUGGUCACGUCGCUCAGCUUCAGUAUCCUGCCUACAAAAGAGGAAUGGGGACACCUCUGACAGAAGAGGUGACUACUUUCCAUGCAGGCAUCCCACCAAGUCCCAAAUGAUUCCAUGCACUGCUCCAGCUCACCAAGUUUUCCCUCCUGCCCCCGCCUUCCCCAUGGCUUCGUGUGAAGUCAUGCCAGAGGACUCACUCCAAGGUUCUGAGAGCUCUAUUUCUUUCCCAUCAGAGUCCCAUUCUGAUACAGACACCAUGCCCUUCUAGGAACCUGACAGAGAGGACCAGGGCAUGGGCCCCCUCAGCCUUCAAUUGGGGUCAUAGGAGACUGUGAGCCCAGUGUCCUAUAGCUCACGAUGUGCAAUCCAUGUGUGGCCUCCUUCUAAAUCACAGUGGACUUCUGGCUUCUCCCCACCAUCCAAGCUGACUCACAAUCAGGACAAGAGGAAGUAUUGGGGAUGAGGCAAAAAGCACAACAAUAAGGCUGUCCAAAAAAAAAAAAAUCUCUUUCCAGCAACACUCAUCCAGGGAAGGGUGUGUGCCAGGCUGGGCCUCACAGAGAGGCUGGGGAGGGCCGGAUCUGCUGUCCCUGAGGGCCUACAUAAUUCUAGGUCAUCUGGCUCUACAAAUAAGUAAAAACAUUAAGCUGUCACUUGAACCACUGCUCAGAGGGUGAGGUCAGAGUUUAUUGAUGAGCCACUGAGCAUUAGCUCUGUAACUGCAUAUAGUCAACAGCUGAUUUACCAAAACCACACUGGAUGUAACUAUUUUACAUGGGGGAGGGUGGAUGAGGAAGAUGGUCUAAUCCAUCCUUCCAGUUUUGAGGCAACAUUUUGAAAAUUGAGUAAGUAAGCACUCAUUGGAAGUCAUGUGACUUUCUGUAGUGCCCCCAGAAAACGUGCCCAGAGAAAAAUCAUUUCUCUGGCUCCGUAGGCACUCAAGAAUCUGGCUGCCUAGACCACUAGGUGGGCAGUUUCAGAGACCUAGUCUCCAUAUCCUGAAUGGGAUUAGUGAUGGGGAAGAUUGUCUUUCCCUGCCAAAGGGUUGCCAUUAUGACUAUAGUUGAAGACUCAUGGGUUGUGUCCAAUAUGUGUGGAUGACUGCAAAGUGCUCUCAGACCUCAUGGAUCCCUUACUGGGGUUGGCUUCUGCUACCGGGCCAAGUCUGUGUGGGUCUAGACACUGGUCAGGAGAAGACUUGCCAGGAGGCCUACAUCAGUGAAUAGUCCAAAGUGGAAGGGAGAGAAGAGGAAAGGAAGGCAAAGUCAAAGAAAGAAUUGAAGCACUUGCCUGCCCAUGGCCUCAGGCUGAGUUCUGACCCCAGACGCAGCUGAUACCAGGGCUGACUUUUGACUUGGACAUCAGACUAAGCUUUCCUUCAACUGUGGUUUGUAACAUAAGUGGUUGAUAAUAUGAGGAUCAAGUGGGGUUCAGGGAAAUACCCUGCUUAUUUGGCUCUCCAUUGGUCCUGGAGGAAGGAGCAAGCAAGUACCUUAACUCAAGUAGCACUUAAGCCUAGCAUUGCAAAAAGGCAGCAUCUAUCUAAUAGCUUCAAGAUGGCAGCCCAAAAGGCCAUCAGAUGCCACAGCUAAUCAAAGAACAGAGAUUUCUUUGUGCUUAUAAAACAACAGCUAUCAGAAAAGGACCUUGGGGAAUUUAUCAAUUGACAAAAUAAGGAAAAGAGAGAAUCUAAGAACAACUGCUUCAGUGUUAGAGUAUAGGGAACCUAAGUGGGACAGAAUCAAUAUAGACUUCUUUCUGAAUGUUCUCUCAGUAGAAGCCUGGCAUGGUAGAAGACUAGGGAAUCAGGGGACCCGGUUCGUGUCCUGCCUUCAUUCCUGGUGUACAUGAAGACACUGUGUGUGAGGAGUUCUGAAUGCAAAGGCCUACUGAGGCCGGGUAGGUUCACAAAUGAUUUAAGCAGACAUGUGCAGAUGGGCUACGGGAGAGCCCACGGUGCAUGCCCUAUCUAAAGGGGACAGCCGUCCUCAGCAACUGCCAGUUAUUGCAGUGUAGGAAUUAGGCCCCAAGUUCUAUGACCCUUUCAUAUAAUUUUUCAAGAGAUACUGGGAAUCUUGAGUUUUAUGUGAAAUUUCUAACUCAUGCAAACUAGUUUUUCUUUUACUUUAAAGCAAAAAAAAAAAAAAAAAAAAAAGAAAAGUCCAUGGGCU
Felis catus (domestic cat) is the source of this 3060-nucleotide long non-coding RNA. RefSeq lists it as uncharacterized. The transcript has 2 exons. NCBI's taxonomy places the organism in Eukaryota, Metazoa, Chordata, Mammalia, Carnivora, Felidae. The record is from RefSeq and is a predicted model, not a curated record.